This 230-nucleotide ribosomal RNA is filed under the name uncultured bacterium. Its description in RNAcentral is "partial 16S ribosomal RNA". It matches the Rfam family "Bacterial small subunit ribosomal RNA", at positions 117 to 339 of the family's 1533-position model. The record is from RNAcentral.
GUAGACAACUUGCCCGAAGAUCUGGGAUAACACCGAGAAAUUGGUGCUAAUACCGGAUAAUAUCUUUGUGACCCUGGUCAUAAAGAUCAAAGGUGGCUUCGGCUACCGUCUUCGGAUGGGUCUGCGUCUGAUUAGCUAGUUGGUAGGGUAAUGGCCUACCAAGGCUACGAUCAGUAGCUGGUCUGAGAGGAUGAUCAGCCACACUGGGACUGAGAUACGGCCCAGACUCC